CGACGUUGUAGUGUGGAGGAUAUUGCUGAGUGCUUGUAAGGUUCAUGGAAAUGUGGCCCUAGCUGAAGUUGUCACAAACAAGCUUCUUGAAUUGGAUCCUUCUAACAGUGGGAAUUAUGUUCUCUCAUCGAAUACUUAUGCAGCUUCAGAUAGAUGGGAAGAUGUUAUAAGAAUGAGAGAACUGAUGGAUGAGAGCAAUGUGCAGAAGCCAUUUGGCCGUAGUUCCAUUGAAAUAAAUGGCAAAUUGUCAAAUAACUCUCAGGAGCCAGGACUCACUUGUAAGAAGAAUCGAUGAAUAUAUCUCAAAUUGAUCUUAGCAGACCAAUUCUUUUACUGCAUGGGCUUACAAAAUUGAACGGAUAUGAACAGUAAGAAUUGCUUAUCUGACCCAGCUGGUCCUGGAACAGAGAGGACAAGUUGUGAUGCAUUGGAAGCUAUCAUCAUCUCAGAUGAAAAAUGGGCUGCUUCUAGAAUUGGGGUAAACUUUAAAACCUUCUGAUGAGAUAUAAGCUUUGCUGAUGUACAGAUCACCAUUAUAUACCGCUGUAACCUAGUAAAAUACACUGAAAAGAUUCACGACAAGAGGAGAUUCGAAUUUGGGAUAUUUUUAAUUCUGAAAAAAGGAAAAAGCAUCACGAAAGAAGAGUUAGUCGAUUGUACACAAAAUAAUAUUUGUUCAUAAUUCUCUCAAUUUGAGAGGCAUUAAAAAAUAAUACAAUUAUCUUAAAUUGUCAUUAUAUGUCUCUGUUUAGCAAUUGAAAAGUAUGUAAAGCUUACGGUAAGAAUAGCAUAUUCCACUACCUGAAUGAAUCUCAUCAUUGUCAUUUGAGCAAAAACAAAAAGAAUCUCAUCAUUGUAUGGGCUAAUAUUUUGGCUUAAAUUUUCCCAACAACGCCUUUCAUGAACACAAAUAGAUGUUGGCAAAAAUCAUUAAGAAAACACUUUUUUCACGAGAAUAAUGUUUCUUUAACAAAAGGGACAGUUGUUGCCUACGCGAAUCUGAGUGUACCUGACGUGGAAAUUAGUCAGCGAUUUGUGGCGUGCCAGAAUAAAGGUUGGCAACAGAGAGCCCAUCUAAUUUCUAAAGCUGACAACAUGGAGCCCAUCUCGUCUAAUUCAUAUUUGAUUUUGAGUUCAAAUCCGGAUGUGUAUAUAUAUAUAUAUAUAUAUAUAUAUGAUAAGUUUUUACUAAAUUAACCCUAUACCAUAACUACAUUAUAUCAAAUGUCUGAUUUAUCACUCAAUUACUUAACUAUAUCUAAAUCGGAUCAAAUGUCUGAUUUAUCUAUGAGUAACAUAACUAUAUAUAUAUAUAUAAAAGAUCAAAUCAAUUAUCUCAUUUAUCACUUACCUAAAAAUGUAUCAGAUCAAAGUCUGAUUUUAUCACUCACCUAAAAUUAGUACCUAAUUAUGUCUCCCGAUAUGAUCUCAAAUAGCAAAACAGGUAAAUAAUCUACUUGGAUCCACAAACAUAAGUGUCAGGUAAACUAUCCUUUUCUGUUUUUCUUUUUUCUGUUUUUUUUGUCAAAGUUAACUAGCACAAGAUAUUGUAGGAAUUUGAACCCAUGACCACUUUAAAGUAUAUCAAAAGCUUGGGUCAAUCCAACUAACACCUUAGGUAAAUUAUCUUCAAAACUAUUAUAUGGUCUAGUCAAAAGUAAAUUAACUUAACUAAUGUAGUCCAUUUAUGCAAACUAGACAAGGCAUAUAAGUUACUACAAAAUAAAAUAUGCUUGUGAGGUUCAUGUUGCUCUGGUGAGAAACACUUAUGCCAAACAGGUGUUUUGUAAUUCCCGAUCACGGGAUGCCAAGAGAAAAAAUUAUCACACAUGACAUACCGUGAGUAGCUGAGAAUAGCAUACACAAGUUUUUCUGAUAGCUGAGAUUGUAACAAGCAAUAGCUUCUGGAGUUGGAUCCAUCAAAUACUUAGGCAGGUCAGAUGAAAUGAUGGGAUGCAAUGAUGUUUAUAAAAAUGAGAGCAGAGCAACGUGCAGAAACCAUUUGGUCGUACUUCCAUUGAAAUAUAAUAAGUGGCAGAUUAUCAAAUAACUCUCAAUUGCAAGAAGAAAUGAUGAAUCUAUCUAAAAUUGACCUCACCAGACCAGACCAGACCGGAACAGAACAGAAGAGAACAUACCAGGCCAGAACAGACCAGCACAAAUGUUUCAGUGCAUGUGCACAGUGCAUGGCCAUAUAAUAAAAUCGAAUGUGGAGAGAUAUAUGAGCGGUAGCAGGAAGUGCUUAUCUGAACCUCAACAUCAUCAGCUGGUCUUUCAACAGAAGAGAGGUCUUUCAACUGAGGUGCAUCUAAAAUGUUGCCAUCAAAGCUUCUGCAUUUUCAGAAUCCCCCGAGUGGACAAGUUGUGAUGAUUUCAGCUCAGAUGAAAAGGGGCAGGUUCUACAGUUUUGGGAAGCUGCUGAUGGAGAUGCAAGUCAGCUUGGUGACUAUUCUAUGGCUUAUAUAAGCGAGUAAAAUAGACCGAGCGAAUAAAUAAAUAAAAAUCAACCCAAAAAAGUCAUCGAAAAAAAAAACUAACAAUAACGGCAUAACCCAUAUCUUAUCUUAAAGAUAGUCAGCAUAGUUGAUUUUUGUGUUUUCAGUUGAAUUUUCAGUUUGAUUUUUGUGCUUAAUUUGACAAAUUUGCUCAAUAUAAACACAAUAAAGAAAUGUGAAUUAGACCAAUUAAUCGGGAUAGCUGAUGAGGAUAGCGACUCCAACCCAAAUUGAACUCCCCGAUCCUGUUAGAGUAAAUUUUAGUAUAAUGAUG
RNAcentral lists this long non-coding RNA (2769 nucleotides) under Prunus persica (peach). Its description in RNAcentral is "long non-coding RNA (PPER_LNC002845)". The record is from RNAcentral. Lineage: Eukaryota; Viridiplantae; Streptophyta; Magnoliopsida; Rosales; Rosaceae.